GUCACAUUUUGUGUAUGACUGUGUAUCUGUCUGUGAAUGUAUAUGUAUGAAUGUAUGAGUGUGCAUAUGUCUCACAGUGUGUGAGUCUUUCCGCGUUAGGUACGUUAUUAAACAUACUAUAUGUAAGUGAGGGCUAGUCAGUGUCAAUACGAAAUUUUAUUUUCAUUUCGAUUAAAACAAUAUAACACUU
Long non-coding RNA from Octopus sinensis (East Asian common octopus), 190 nucleotides. RefSeq lists it as uncharacterized. The record is from RefSeq and is a predicted model, not a curated record. The transcript is spliced from 2 exons. NCBI's taxonomy places the organism in Eukaryota, Metazoa, Mollusca, Cephalopoda, Octopoda, Octopodidae.